RNAcentral lists this ribosomal RNA (155 nucleotides) under leaf litter ascomycete strain its122. Its description in RNAcentral is "5.8S ribosomal RNA". It matches the Rfam family "5.8S ribosomal RNA". From Rfam's summary of the family: 5.8S ribosomal RNA (5.8S rRNA) is a component of the large subunit of the eukaryotic ribosome. It is transcribed by RNA polymerase I as part of the 45S precursor that also contains 18S and 28S rRNA. The record is from RNAcentral. Lineage: Eukaryota; Fungi; Ascomycota.
AACUUUCAACAACGGAUCUCUUGGUUCUCGCAUCGAUGAAGAACGCAGCGAAAUGCGAUAAGUAAUGUGAAUUNNNGNAUUCAGUGAAUCAUNGAAUCUUUGAACGCACAUUGCGCCCCUUGGUAUUCCGAGGGGCAUGCCUGUUCGAGCGUCAU